Molecule: long non-coding RNA, 767 nt
Organism: Carassius auratus (goldfish)
Lineage: Eukaryota; Metazoa; Chordata; Actinopteri; Cypriniformes; Cyprinidae
Exons: 6
Source: RefSeq, a predicted model, not a curated record
AAAGUCUUUUGAGAAUGAGAAUGCUAUUUCUUCAAAAACCAGUUAUAUUUAUUUAUUGAAAUGCUUUAUUUAUUGUGGCGUGUGAUCCGAUGAUCCAGAAACAUCAACACAGAAAUGCUGUUUUUCCAGCCAUAUAGUCAUUCUAAAUUAAUAUUUUCAUUUUGGAUAGUGAAGUUUGGCUGAUGUUUUAUGCCAGAGGUGUUGAAUUAUUAUUAUUUUUUUUUUAUCAUUUGCAUUUAGGCAAUACUAUGCAUAUCUAACAGACACCCAGUGCAAAAGAGUAGGAACACAGUGUUGGGUGUUUGGGUAUUUUCUCUUGGCUUUAAGCUCCAGGUCUGAUGACUAGAGUUAACAAACCUCACUUUUGUAUUUGGCCAUUGCUUUCCUGGAAGCUCUGGCUUGUAUCAAAUUUGGACAAGACUUGUUCUCUAAAACACAGGUUCUUUAUGUUGUCCUUUGGCUUUUGUGUUUGGCUUUUAUUACUUUACUCUGUCUGUAUGGAAUGAUUUGGUACGAGCAGAAUUAUGGGAGGAGACUGAAGAACAUUGCAGACUGUGACGACAGCACCAUUAUUGACACGUAUGACAACAUUCUUGAAACUUCCAAAGCAGAGAAGAACUCCAGUAGUAAUUCCACUUCAUCAAGGAGAAGAAAAGGAGGCUCUGGAAAAAACAAAACAAUCAAUGGAACAAGCGGCAAGAAGUGACCACAGCUAGAUUCAGUGGACCACAAGGGGUUAAAGAAAGAAUAUGUCAUAAGCGGAUGAA